RNAcentral lists this ribosomal RNA (373 nucleotides) under uncultured organism. RNAcentral describes it as "partial 16S ribosomal RNA". It matches the Rfam family "Bacterial small subunit ribosomal RNA", at positions 527 to 896 of the family's 1533-position model. The record is from RNAcentral.
GUAGGUGGCAAGCGUUGUCCGGAAUUAUUGGGCGUAAAGCGCGCGCAGGCGGUUUCUUAAGUCUGAUGUGAAAGCCCACGGCUCAACCGUGGAGGGUCAUUGGAAACUGGGGAACUUGAGUACAGAAGAGGAAAGUGGAAUUCCACGUGUAGCGGUGGAAUGCGUAGAGAUGUGGAGGAACACCAGUGGCGAAGGCGACUUUCCGGUCUGUAACUGACGCUAAGGCGCGAAAGCGUGGGGAGCAAACAGGAUUAGAUACCCUGGUAGUCCACGCCGUAAACGAUGAGUGCUAAGUGUUAGAGGGUUUCCCGCCCCUUUAGUGCUGCAGCUAACGCAUUAAGCACUCCGCCUGGGGAGUACGGUCGCAAGACUG